UAAAAGUUUUAUUUUAACUUAAAAAUUAGAUAUUAUUUUUUAUUAUAUGUAAAUUGUAUUUAAGAAGAGAAUUUUCAGUAGUUAAAUUUAUAUAUUAAAGAAAUUUAGAUUUAGAAAUAAUAAUUAAUAUUAACAAAAUUUGUGCCAGCAGUUGCGGUUAUACAAAUAAUAUUAUUUAAUUUUAUUAAUAAAAAUUAAUUUAAUUAUUAAAAUUUAAUUUUAAAAUUUAUUAGGUAAAAUUUUAAAUUUUAAUUAUAUUUAUAUUAUUAAAUGAAGUUUAGAAAUUUAAAAUAUAAACUAGGAUUAGAUACCCUAUUAUUUUAAAUGUAAUUUUAUUAUUAAAUUAUUAAUAGCUAUGUUCUUUAAAAUUAAAAAAUUUGGCGGUAUUUUAGUCUUUUCAGAGGAACCUGUUCUAUAAAUGAUAUUCCACGAUUUAAUUUACUUUUAUUUUUAAUUUGUAUAUCGUCGUAAUUAAGUAUUUCUUUAGAAUUUUAAAUAUUUAAGAUUUUUAAUUAAAAAAUUAGUCAGAUCAAGGUGCAAUUUAUAUAAAAGUAGAAAUGGGUUACAUUAAAAAUAUUUUUGGAUAAUUUUUAUUAUAAAAAUUUAAAUUUGGAUUUGAAAGUAAAUUUAAUUAAUUAAUUAAUUUGAUUUUGGCUCUAAAAUAUGUACAUAUCGCCCGUCGCUUUCAUUUAAUAUGAAAUAAGUCGUAACAAAGUAGAUUUACUGGAAAGUGAAUCUAGAUUAAU
RNAcentral lists this non-coding RNA (746 nucleotides) under Chapuisia ellenbergeri. Lineage: Eukaryota; Metazoa; Arthropoda; Insecta; Coleoptera; Chrysomelidae. The record is from RNAcentral.